Molecule: ribosomal RNA, 460 nt
Filed under: uncultured bacterium
Lineage: Bacteria
Description: partial 16S ribosomal RNA
Rfam family: Bacterial small subunit ribosomal RNA
Source: RNAcentral
CCUACGGGGCGCUGCAGUGAGGAAUAUUGGUCAAUGGGCGCGCGCCUGAACCAGCCAAGUAGCGUGAAGGAUGACUGCCCUACGGGUUGUACACUUCUUUUAUAAAGGAAUAAAGUGAGGCAAGUUUGCCUUUUUGUCUGUACUUUAUGAAUAAGGAUCGGCUAACUCCUUGCCAGCAGCCGCGGUAAUACGGAGGAUCCGAGCGUUAUACGGAUUUAUUGGGUUUAAAGGGAGCGUAGAUGGGUUGUUAAGUCAGUUGUGAACGUUUGCGGCUCAACCGUAAAAUUGCAAUUGAUACUGGCAGCCUUGAGUACAGUUGAGGUAGGCGGAAUUCGUGGUGUAGCGGUGAAAUGCUUAGAUAUCACGAAGAACUCCGAUUGCGAAGGCAGCUUACUAAACUGCCACUGACAUUGAUGCUCGAAAGUGUGGGUAUCAAACAGGAUUAGAUACCCGUGUAGUC